UACAGAGGUGGCAAGCGUUGUUCGGAAUUACUGGGCGUAAAGGGCGCGUAGGCGGUUCGUUAAGUCCUGUGUGAAAUCCCCGGGCUCAACCCGGGAACUGCGUCCGAUACUGGCGGGCUUGAAUCCGGGAGAGGGAUGCGGAAUUCCAGGUGUAGCGGUGAAAUGCGUAGAUAUCUGGAGGAACACCGGUGGCGAAGGCGGCAUCCUGGACCGGCAUUGACGCUGAGGCGCGAAAGCCAGGGGAGCAAACGGG
RNAcentral lists this ribosomal RNA (253 nucleotides) under uncultured bacterium. Its description in RNAcentral is "partial 16S ribosomal RNA". It matches the Rfam family "Bacterial small subunit ribosomal RNA", at positions 524 to 776 of the family's 1533-position model. The record is from RNAcentral.